RNAcentral lists this ribosomal RNA (513 nucleotides) under uncultured bacterium. RNAcentral describes it as "partial 16S ribosomal RNA". It matches the Rfam family "Bacterial small subunit ribosomal RNA", at positions 28 to 523 of the family's 1533-position model. The record is from RNAcentral.
GACGAACGCUGGCGGCAUGCCUAAUACAUGCAAGUCGAGCGAACAGAUGAAGUGCUUGCACUUCUGACGUUAGCGGCGAACGGGUGAGUAACACGUAAGGAAUCUACCUAUAAGCGGGGGAUAACAUUCGGAAACGGGUGCUAAUACCGCAUAAUAUCUUCUUCCGCAUGGAAGAAGAUUGAAAGACGGCUCUGCUGUCACCUAUAGAUGACCUUGCGGUGCAUUAGUUAGUUGGUGGGGUAACGGCCUACCAAGACGAUGAUGCAUAGCCGACCUGAGAGGGUGAACGGCAACAUUGGGACUGAGACACGGCCCAAACUCAUACGGGAGGCAGCAGUAGGGCAUCUUCCACAAUGGGCGAAAGCCUGACGGAGCAAUGCCGCGUGAGUGAAGAAGGCCUUCGGGUCGUAAAACUCUGUUAUAAGAGAAGAACAAAUUGUAGAGUAACUGCUACAGUCUUGACGGAAUCUUAUCAGAAAGCCACGGCUAACUACGUGCCAGCAGCCGCAGUAA